Molecule: long non-coding RNA, 4535 nt
Organism: Varanus komodoensis (Komodo dragon)
Lineage: Eukaryota; Metazoa; Chordata; Lepidosauria; Squamata; Varanidae
Exons: 3
Source: RefSeq, a predicted model, not a curated record
AACGUGCAGUUUCCCGACAAGACAGGAUAGGCACUGGGAGAGGGAAGAACUUCUCUUUUAAAGUGCCAUAUUACAGCCCUGCAGAGGCUGAACCUGAGCCUGGUUUCCUAGGCCAGCCUCCCAGGCUUUCCAAGGUGGCUAUUCUGCUUCUCCUGGCUGUGCCCCCUUUCCUGAAAGACCCCUCCUAAGGAUUUUUCUGAGCACUACCUUAGUGUUCAGCUCUCCUUUGGCUUCCAUGAACACUCGUAAUCACUGUGCAAUUUAUGAGAACAGGAAAACUACAAAUUGAAUGUGAUCAUACAGGAAAUGUUACAAAAAUGUCAGGAGGGGCAAACGACUAACACCAGCAGAUUUCCUUUGCAGAACUGGCAAAGCUGCACUUCUGUACAGACUAUCCUGGCAGCAGGUCCCGCUGCAUUUGGUGAGGCUUCUAGCAAGCAUGCAAAGCACAUCUAUAAGAAGGACCAUCAUCAGAGAAGGCUGGGGAGGAAGAUGUCGCUGUGCAAAGGACCUGCAGUGGCGGCUCAGGAGUGCCCAGCAAACAUGUCGCAUAGAAAAGCCCAAAUGCAAUGUGUGAACUCUCAGAAAAGAAGCACCAACACUGCAAGCAGAUUCAGGAAAACGAGAUGAGUUAACAAGCCUUAAACCAGUUUACUUGGUAGAUGAAUCAGCUGACACUUUGGUUGAUUAAAUAAUGAGGGCAGUUUUUAAUUGGUGUAAUGUAGAGAUGGAUAAGGUUUUCCUGGUUUAUUUUUUGAGGGUAUAUUAGUUUCGGCAUGUUAUUAUCAUUACUGAUAUGGGAAAAACAAAUGGCUUUUCCUUCAAAGAGGUGUAGAUGCUUUUAGUUAUUGGUACAAUAUUUCCUUUAAUUUUUAAAAUAAGUAGCUGUAUUAAAUUAAUACAGUAGCUGUAUUAAAUGGGUAAUAUGCAAAUUACUCUAAACACAGCUGAUUAAAAGGCAGAUGAUUCACUAACUUAAUGUAAUCAUUCCAAUUAAUUAAGCAUAGUUGUUCAAAAUUUAGCCAUUUAAACUUGUUCAAAGUCAAAAUCAGUUUCUCUUGCUAUGAAGCCAUGGCGUUGGCAAAAGAACCGGUUAUUGCACUGGGAGAGCAGGUUCAGAGCUGGUUCUCACUCAGGUAUGUUAAUCAGGCAUAGACUACCACAUUACUGGUAAGGGAAUCACCCGACAUAAAUUUGUGACCACAAGUGGCACUUCUGAUUCAUUGUAGGGGGUAAGUGAAAUAAAAGACAAAUGGAUGCAUUUUCCCAUUUCCCAGCUUAGCACCUUCCAGAUGUUUUGGACUACAGCUUUCAUCAUCCCCAGACUAUAAGGGGAGAGAUCCAGCUUGAGAAAGGCUAAUGCUCCGCAUAACCAAGGGCUAGCUCUCUUUGACCACUGUCAACUUUCUUAGAAAGUGCUGUCAGUUUCCAGCGGAGAGAGAAAGAAAUGAAACAGAACGAUCCACACCCAUCACAUCACUUGUUCUAAAGCUGGGCUGUGCGUCUUUCAAAAGGCCAUAAACAUGCCACUUUAAUGGUCUGUAAUAAACACACACACUUCCAGGCUUGCUAACACAGGAAUAAGAUUUUGCCCAACCGGUAAACCAAAAUAUGUCACACUCCGUGAUCAACAUUUGUUCCCAAUCACUUUGACACGCUGGUGCUCAUUUGCUAUUUAGGAUACUGUGUCAGGGAUCACAACUUAUACCGGAAAGUGUUAACAAAUGGACAUAAAAAAUAAAACCCCAGGCAUUGGUAUGCCACAUCUCCCCUCGUCACCUUGAAAGACUUGUCGUUGCAAUAAGAAAUUUAAUGCAUCCAGCACAGGGCUAAAUUAUAGUGUCUCUUAAACUUUAGUGUAUUGAAGGCCACUGUUCUGGCAUACCUGUUCUUUGUUGCUCACUACACAGGUUCCGGCCCUUUUGCUUUUUUCGCUCUUAAAUCUGAAAUUAUUUGGUUCAGUUCCCUAUUGUUCUGUUCGCUGAGGUUUAGCUGCUGCAUUAAUUUCCAUUUUUAAAAUGUUUGCCAAAUAGGGGCUAGCCUCUUCAAUAAGAGAGGGAGGUUUCCCCUGGGUGUAUGUUUUGUGCACUGAAGGCCUUUUUGCACAUUAUCUUUUAGAUGUACUCCUACAACAUGUAUAUUCAGUCAUCCUCUUAAAACAUCUGAGGGAUGCACCUCUCAAAAUGUAGCAAAAAUAACAAGAGUGAAUGCAGCAUUUUCAGAAGUGGUAACUGAUUGUCACUCCACGCUGAGUGGCUGACUCACUUUUGCCUCUGCAUUAAGUGGGAGGUGGCCUUCCAAGUGUGCCAGGUACCAUGGGUGGUCUGCAGGCCCCAGGGUAAGGUGCAGAGCUCUUGAACCUGGGACUCGGGCUGCGGGAUGCAAGCGCCUCGUUUUGUGGGCUUGCCCGAGGAAAUGAGCAUUGGCCUUCUCUGGUUGUGCUUCUGCCUCUACCCAUGUCCAGAAGGUGGCAUUCCAGCUGCCAGUUUAGGAGGUGACACAAGAGGCCCAAAGGCUGUGGAUACUGGGCUGGUUUUGGUCCCAGCAGCUCAACUGGUUGCUCUUUGAUGACCCAUUCGCCGUUAGGCUGCCUGCCUGCUCCCCAGCUUGGCUCCCUGCAUGCUCGCCAGGGAGGUACACCAACUCUGAUUCCACCCUUAUCAGAUCAGAUCAGAACAAACCCUGUUUGCACCCUUGAUUGCUGAUGUGUGCACACUUUGUGGGCGAAGUUCGGAUAUUCUCAAGCUUACGGCAGUCGUUUGCAAAAUGCAAAUGUACUUUAGAAAAAUGUGCAUGUUUGAGGCAAAUGUGCAUUUUCAUGUUUUAUUCCGUAGGGAGAAAAUAGGCAUUUGGAGGGUCACUUUUAAAAAAUGUGCAGCCCAAUCUCUACUUUGGCUGCUUAAAUGAGGGUGGGGAGGAGAGCUCCCAGUCAGGAUCAGGAAGCUGGAGGGGGAUCCCACGUCUCUGCUGGCUGAUGGAUUUCUUUUUAUCUCAAUGGGGUCAGUCCUGAGCCAUCAAGCUACUGGUUCUGAUUCAAGUACCUUCUCAGGCAGGCCUCCCCUCAGCUUUAGCCUUCUCCAGCCAGGUGUGCUCCAGAUGUGUUGGACUGCAACUCCUAUCCAGCCACUGCAGACCCACACAUCUGCAGACUGCCAGCAUGGAGAAAGAUGCUUUACUUGCUCCCUCCAUGCUGACUUUACUUUUUUCACGCUGCAUAAAUAUGGAACUGGAACAAGACUCAUGCCCCCCACAUUAAAGGGAAAUAAUGACCUCUCUAGAUGCAGAGAGAAGGGAAAGCAACACAUUUGUGAAAUAUUCCAAUUUCCAUGCAAGCGCCUUCCCUGGCGGUGUGCAGCUUCAGCAGAUCGUGCUGGUAUCAUGUAGGAAAUAUCCCCCUGGGGACAAAUAAGCGUAAUAUCUAAGAAGCAAAUUUAAAUUUGUGUUUCUGUCUUAGAAAGGGGGGCUUCUUGGCUGAGGUCAGAGAGCGAUUUCUGAUGCAUAGCAGGAGCAGCAAAGCUAUGCCGGAAAGAUUAUUCUCCCAGUCAGCAACAAGUCAUAGAGCCAAGAGCCUCGAGGGAGUCCAUACAGAAACUCGUUAAUUCCAGAAGGUUGCGAUGGAUCUGACCAUACGUGUCUACAGGGCAACCCUGGGCAAAAUACCAUCCCUCCUGUCCUUCUAUAGCCUUAAUCAGACCGUUAUUCCCUAUCAGUGUCAUAAAUAAAAAUUAGCAUAUUAUUACCUUGGAGAGGAGGUCAGUGUUUCCUGUGGGAUGUGUAGCGCAUCUCUGAGAUGCAGAACAUGAUUUAACAAUGGCUUCCUGUAAAUAUUCCAAUUUAGUUCUCUGCCUUGGGUAACAAAGGGCUGGGGUAUCUGCUGAGGGUGAAGCCACACAUGGGAAGCUGUCAAUUUUCGUGCACAAGAAAGUCACAAAUAAGAAACUCUAGGAUGUGGGUUAUUUGUUCUGGCUUAAACACAAGACAUGAGGCCGAUGUUAUAGUGAGGAUGGUGAAUAAUCAAAGCAAACAGGAAAUGGAUUUUGGUGCCCGUUGGCAAAUCGUUGCCCACUGGCAAACUUUAAUAAAACCUAGUAAACUGUGAAAUCAAGAGUUAACAAGGGGAUAUUGGCACACAUGGAGAGAGGCCUGGGUUCAGUGGUAGAGUGCAUGAAGGAUGUUCAAAAUAAGCUCCUGCCUGAAGCCCUGGACAGCUGCUGCCAGUUAGUGUUGGCGAUAUUAGUCUGACUUUGCAUGAGAAAGCUUCUUAGGUUCCUAUGGACAAAAGCCUGUCACUUUCUUUCUAGCCAAGGACCUAAGAGAUUUCUUUCCGUCUCCAAGUACAGAAGAUAUGAAGGCAAAGAAAGGCCUAUUGAAAGCAGAGGACAUGGCUGCUGACUUCUCCGAAUUCAGCCUCACUUGAGAGAUUGAGGCAGGGCUGGCCCAAGACAUUUUGCUGCCUGAGGCAAAGAACAAGACAUUGUCCCAUAUACAAUUUAAAAACCAAAUUUAAAACAAAUGUAAGAAGCUACAAGGGCUUA